UCAAGAGAGUGAUAAUUGUACCAUUGCUUUUUACCCCUGAGGUUGGCCCUUUCCUGCUUGAUUUGCUGCUCUGUUGAAGGCUGAAUUGUUCCCCUUUGCUUUUCUAUUGCAGGAAUUGUGUUUGAUUCGUUUCCGUCCCGUGUAUGAAGAGGAAGAUAUUUAUGCCUAUGUCUCUCUCUACGCCUACUUGAUCACUCAUGGUUGUUUUGGGGUUGUAACUAAUACUCCCAAGAGAACUAUCAAGAAUUUUUACCUGAUUCCCCUGAGUUCUGAGGACCCAAUUCCAUCCCAACUCUUGCCUCUUCAUGGGCCAGGUCUCGCGUCAUCUCGGCCCAAUGUAAUUCUCGGAGUGAUUGUUCGUCAGAACAAGAAGCAUUAAGUUUAUGUUUGUAAUUGUCUUAGAGGAUUGUUAAAAUACUGUUACAUUAUUAUCAUUAUUAUUGUUGUUUUCACUCUUACCAGUUUUAGCAAUCAGUUUGCUGUUCUCGUUCAAAUAAACAACAUUGUUUUGCAACAGA
Long non-coding RNA from Colius striatus (speckled mousebird), 518 nucleotides. RefSeq lists it as uncharacterized. Lineage: Eukaryota; Metazoa; Chordata; Aves; Coliiformes; Coliidae. The transcript is spliced from 2 exons. The record is from RefSeq and is a predicted model, not a curated record.